Long non-coding RNA from Eutrema salsugineum, 574 nucleotides. RefSeq lists it as uncharacterized. The record is from RefSeq and is a predicted model, not a curated record. NCBI's taxonomy places the organism in Eukaryota, Viridiplantae, Streptophyta, Magnoliopsida, Brassicales, Brassicaceae. The transcript has 3 exons.
UAAUUUUGUGUAAAAAAAAACUUCCUCAAAUUUCUCUCUAAAACGGCGCUGCAAUCUCUAGCCAUGAAUCUCCACCACCUCUCCAUUCAUGUUGGUUGCUAUAUGUUGUAGUGAUCUGAGGUCAAAGCGUUGUUAUUUGAAGAUGAUAUCAGAAAAGCAUCUCCUUUGGAUAACGGCGGCGAGUCCACCUCCAUCCUCACCAUCUUCGUCUCCUGCCACCUCACAGAUCUCAACAAACCAUCACCGUCAUCUCUAUCUUCUCCAUUGACAACAAACAUGGCUUCUCUCUAUCCACAACAAAACGACAGACUUUGUCUUAACAGGGCCAAACAUAAUAAAUAAGCCCAUUAACAAAUACAGAACCCAAUACACCUGGCCCAUCUCACCACUACCACGUGAAUCCUACUCCAAUAAGUAAAUAAUUAGGCUUUUUAUUUGCUCUUUGAACUUUCUUUGUGUAAUAAUUAUCAAUUGUUUGUAUAUAAUGGUCAUCAAUUGUAAUAAUCAUCAACUAUAGUAGUCUUGUAAUUGUCAACUGUAAUUUUUAUGUGUAUUUAUGAUGCUAUUUUGUGUA